Long non-coding RNA from Nyctereutes procyonoides (raccoon dog), 795 nucleotides. RefSeq lists it as uncharacterized. The transcript has 2 exons. The record is from RefSeq and is a predicted model, not a curated record. Lineage: Eukaryota; Metazoa; Chordata; Mammalia; Carnivora; Canidae.
GGACAAGAUGAUGGAUCCGGGUGGUGUGCAAGGUGCUGCUGCUGUGUCCCCGCCCCCCAUCACAAACACACCCCGCGCCCGCCGGUGCCCUUCCUCCUUGCUGCCUGCUCCUCUCCUAGGGGCCCUUGCUCCUACGUGCACCUUCUCUUGAGACGGUGCUCGCAGCACGAUCUGGAUGUCAUGUGGCCUUGUCUGGGAUCAGGUCACCCUCCGCCAAGUGGCCUAGUAGCCUUGGACUCAAGCCUCAGCUGGCAGAGCUGGAGGAAGGGGGGCUGCACCUCGGUGGAUGUCCUAGGGUAGAAGGAGUUGGAACCGGGGAGCCCCUCGCCCCCAUUCACACACUCAGACUCCACCUCAGAUCCGGCGCCUGCUCUAAGGGGACUUGGCCCAGUGUUCCAGCUCACCCGCUGUCAACGGGUCUAAAACAUACAGCAAGGAGCGUCUGGGUGCUCAGGCGUUUCCAUCGAGCGUGACUUAGAGGUUUGGAGAUGUGGAACCAAGGGCUCUAUCCAAACGAGCAGGUUGUCUUCAUAAAGUACGAGGCAUCGAUGCGAUGAACUUUUUCACAGAACAUUUUUAAAAUGCCCAUAAGAUAUGACAAAGAGCUAGCGGCUGGCUCGUGGUGGGAGGGCUAAGAAUGGGCGCUGCGCACUUAAAAGGUGCUCCCUUUGUCAAGAGUUUAUUUGCCUCUUAGUCCUCUCUGCACUGAACGAGGGGCUCAAGCUCACACCCCUGAGUUCAAGGGUCACACCCCAUUCCUUUUUUUCUUUAAUAAAAAGAUUGCAUUGAUUGAUU